GAUGAACGCUGGCGGCGUGCUUAACACAUGCAAGUCGAACGGUGAAGCAGGAGCUUGCUCUUGUGGAUCAGUGGCGAACGGGUGAGUAACACGUGAGCAACCUGCCCCUGACUCUGGGAUAAGCGCUGGAAACGGCGUCUAAUACUGGAUAUGUGAUGUGACCGCAUGGUCUGCAUCUGGAAAGAAUUUCGGUUGGGGAUGGGCUCGCGGCCUAUCAGCUUGUUGGUGAGGUAAUGGCUCACCAAGGCGUGGACGGGUAGCCGGCAUGAGAGGGUGACCGGCCACACUGGGACUGAGACACGGCCCAGACUCCUACGGGAGGCAGCAGUGGGGAAUAUUGCACAAUGGGCGGAAGCCUGAUGCAGCAACGCCGCGUGGGGGAUGACGGCCUUCGGGUUGUAAACCUCUUUUAGCAGGGAAGAAGCGAAAGUGACGGUACCCGCAGAAAAAGCACCGGCUAACUACGUGCCAGCCGCCGCAGUAA
RNAcentral lists this ribosomal RNA (484 nucleotides) under uncultured bacterium. Its description in RNAcentral is "partial 16S ribosomal RNA". It matches the Rfam family "Bacterial small subunit ribosomal RNA", at positions 28 to 523 of the family's 1533-position model. The record is from RNAcentral.